UACGUAGGGGGCAAGCGUUGUCCGGAAUCAUUGGGCGUAAAGCGCGCGUAGGCGGCCCGGUAAGUCCGCUGUAAAAGUCCAGGGCUCAACCCUGGAAAGCCGGUGGAUACUGUCGGGCUAGAGUCCGGAAGAGGAGAGUGGAAUUCCCGGUGUAGCGGUGAAAUGCGCAGAUAUCGGGAAGAACACCCGUGGCGAAGGCGGCUCUCUGGGACGGUACUGACGCUGAGACGCGAAAGCGUGGGGAGCGAACAGG
RNAcentral lists this ribosomal RNA (253 nucleotides) under uncultured bacterium. Its description in RNAcentral is "partial 16S ribosomal RNA". It matches the Rfam family "Bacterial small subunit ribosomal RNA", at positions 524 to 776 of the family's 1533-position model. The record is from RNAcentral.